RNAcentral lists this ribosomal RNA (469 nucleotides) under uncultured bacterium. RNAcentral's name for it is "bacterial SSU rRNA". It matches the Rfam family "Bacterial small subunit ribosomal RNA", at positions 28 to 508 of the family's 1533-position model. The record is from RNAcentral.
GACGAACGCUGGCGGCGUGCUUAACACAUGCAAGUCAAGGGGGCCCGCAAGGGCAACCGGCGAACGGGUGCGUAACACGUGAGCAACCUGCCUUGAAGUGGGGGAUAGCCGGCCCAACGGCCGGGUAAUACCGCAUACGUUCCUUUGGUGGCAUCACUGGGGGAAGAAACGCUUGACGGCUUCAAGAGGGGCUCGCGGCCUAUCAGCUAGUUGGUGGGGUCACGGCUUACCAAGGCGACGACGGGUAGCUGGUCUGAGAGGAUGGCCAGCCACAUUGGGACUGAGAAACGGCCCAGACUCCUACGGGAGGCAGCAGUGGGGAAUCUUGCGCAAUGGCCGAGAGGCUGACGCAGCGACGCCGCGUGGGGGAUGACGCAUUUCGGUGUGUAAACCCCUGUUGCUCGGGACGAACGAUCCUUUUCGAGGGAUGUGACGGUACCGAGUGAGGAAGCACCGGCUAACUCCGUGC